RNAcentral lists this small nucleolar RNA (110 nucleotides) under Millerozyma farinosa CBS 7064. Its description in RNAcentral is "Piso0_003392". The record is from RNAcentral. Lineage: Eukaryota; Fungi; Ascomycota; Pichiomycetes; Serinales; Debaryomycetaceae.
UUAAGUGAUGAAAAUUCCAUUAAACAUUCGCAGUUUCCUCGGUAGCAUACGUCGAACCCAUCAAUGUAUGCCGGUGACCGCUUAUAGACCUUCCAUGGAUGUCUGAUUAA